GCAGCCGCGGUAAUUCCAGCUCCAAUAGCGUAUAUUAAAGUUGUUGCAGUUAAAAAGCUCGUAGUUGAAUUUCGGGAUCAAUAUGUCGGUCGUGCCUCCGGUACGUACUGGCGUUAUUGGUUUCUCCCUUCUGACGAACCACGAUGUCAUUAAUUUGGUGUCAUGGGGAAUCAGGACUGUUACUUUGAAAAAAUUAGAGUGUUUAAAGCAGGCUCACGCUUGAAUACAUUAGCAUGGAAUAAUGAAAUAGGACGUUUGAUUCUAUUUUGUUGGUUUCUAGGAUCGACGUAAUGAUUAAUAGGGAUAGUUGGGGGCAUUAGUAUUCAAUUGUCAGAGGUGAAAUUCUUGGAUUUAUUGAAGACUAACUACUGCGAAAGCAUUUGCCAAGGAUGUUUUCAUUAAUCAAGAACGAAAGUUAGGGGAUCGAAGACGAUCAGAUACCGUCGUAGUCUUAACCAUAAACUAUGCCGACUAGGGAUCGGAUGAUGUUAAUUUUUUAAUGACUCAUUCGGCGCCUUACGGG
This 523-nucleotide ribosomal RNA is filed under the name uncultured Glomeromycotina. RNAcentral describes it as "SSU rRNA". It matches the Rfam family "Eukaryotic small subunit ribosomal RNA", at positions 570 to 1094 of the family's 1831-position model. Lineage: Eukaryota; Fungi; Glomeromycota. The record is from RNAcentral.